Molecule: long non-coding RNA, 477 nt
Organism: Osmerus eperlanus (European smelt)
Lineage: Eukaryota; Metazoa; Chordata; Actinopteri; Osmeriformes; Osmeridae
Exons: 2
Source: RefSeq, a predicted model, not a curated record
GGUAAGUGGUAGAGCGUCUAGUUUAGUAGAGCAGGUUCAGAGUUUAAAUGAGCAAGUGCAGUUUUGGAAAGGGGAACAUGCUGCCGCACAGGAGGAACUAGACAGGUUUAUACAAGGGCAGGUCCCCACUUUUGAGCAUGGUAUGAAGAGAAAAUGAAACAGCAGCAGCACAUUCCGUUUGCAGUGAGGUUGUAUAGUAAAAUGAAGUUUUCAUAAAUAUGUUUAUAAGUAACUUAUUGUCAAUAAGUAUUUGUUACAAAUGUGCACUUUUUUCUCUCUUUUUCAGAUGAACGUGCCUUCAAUUAGCUACACAUUUUCCAGGAGUUUGCUCGAUCGCCUUUUUGCUAGGGGUCGGGGAAUAAUUUUCCAGUAUCCCAUAUUGGCUAAUAUGGGUUAACUGGUUUUUUGAUUCCCUCUGGAAAAUGAGUUAGGUUUCCUAUUAAAUAUGCAUAUUAAACAUUGUUGUUCUUGAACAAA